UUUUUUUUUUUUUUUGCCUUUUUGUUUUUAUGUUUUGUGUUUUUCUAUUUCUUUGACUGUCCAAUCCCCAUCGAUUUAUGCUUCCUGCCCAUCAGGUAUCUCUUUAUCGCAACCUGCUCUCGGUGAUUGUGUAAGGCGACACUUUACAUGUUGUCUCCCUGAAACCACCUCUUGACCCCACAAUUCUUUUAAAUUUGCAUAUAUUUUUUUUUUUUUGAGAAGGGUCUUGCUCUGUUGCCCAGGCUGAAGCGCAGUGGUGCAAUUGUGGCUCACUGUAGCCAUGAUUACCCUAAAUCCAUGCCCUCACUCUUCCUUGCUAGACUGCCACUGAGGUCCCCACUUCAGGUGUUCACUAAUCAGAAACAGGCACCUCAGUGGCAGUUUAGUGGAAACCCUGAUUGGGAAUAAAUUCAGUGAAUGAUGUGCAACUUUCUACACUGAAAACUAGAGAGCAUUGCUAAGGGACAAAGCAGUAAAUAAAUGGAGUAAUACACCACGCUCAUAGACUGGAAGACUCAAUAUCACAAAGAGUCAAUUCUUCCCGAAUUGAGAUUUAAAUUCAAUGAAAUCCUAAUUAGAAUCUCAUUAGAGUUUUUUUGUUUUGUUUUGUUUUGGUGGAUUUGAUUAUCUGAUUCUUCAAUUUAUAUAGACAGUGAAAGGGACUGAAAGUAGCCAAGAUAAUCUUGAAGUAGAAAAACAAAGUUGGAGAAAUUAAUUUGUCAGAUUUCAAGAUUUUGUAUAGUUGCAGUAAUUAUAUGUGGUGUGUGUACAAGGAGAGAUGAACCAGUGGAACAAAAUGGUUCAGGAACAGACUCGCAAACACACCUGAUUUUUAACAAAGGCUCCACUACAAUGAAAUAGAAGGUGAGUCUUGUUGAUAAAUAUUGUUGAUCGGUGUUUAUUUGAAAAUAAUGAGCCUUAGACUUGUCUUAUUUCAUAUACAGAAAUUUAAUUUAAAAUGGAUCAUAGAGCUAAUGUGAAAAUAAAACCAUAAGCUUCUAAAAAUUAGGAUAAUUUGUGACUUUGCAGUAGUCAGAUUUCUUUAAAAAGAUAUACAAAAAUACUAUUCAUAAAAGGAUGAUAAAUAGGACCUUAUUGAGAAUUUGUUCAUUAAAAUACAACAUUAAGAGAGUAAAAAGGCAAUACAGAGACCAGAAAAAGAUAUCUCCAUUUUAUGUAUAUGAAACAAAGGACUUAUAUUCAGAAUAUAUAAAGAACUCCUACCAAUCAAAAAGAAAAAGGCAACCAAAUGUAAAAAUGGGCAAGAGACUCGAAUUAUCCAGCAAGGAAAUGCAAAUUAAAACUACAAUGAGGUGUUACCACACCUUCAGCCAAAUCAGCUAAAAUUAAAAGGAGUAAUAAUACAAAGUGUUGCUGACAAUGUGGAAAAACAGGAACUCUUAUAUUGCUGAUGGGAGCAUAACUUGAUGCAAUAUUUUUGGCACAUUUAUUUAGGCAUAUCAGCUGAAGUUGAAUACAGCUAUACCUCCCUUAUGACUCAACAAUUUCACCCCUGAGUUUGUAAUCAACACAAACGAAUGCUACAUUCACCAAAAGUCAUAUAUUACAAAUGUUUGGGGCUAUUUUCUCCAUAAUAACCCCAAACUGGAAAUGAUAAAUAUCCAUCAACAUAUCCCAAAUAGUAUUAAGAAUUCAUACAAUGGAUAACUACAUAAUAAGAAAUAAUGAAUCUGAUGCAUGCAAAAGGUGGGAGAAUUUCAGAGAUACAAUUUUAAGCCACAAAAAAAAAAAAAAAAAAAAAAAAGCCUGAUACAAAAGAGUAUGUGUGUUACUCUAAUUAUAUGAAAGUCAAGAACCGGUGACAUUGACCUAUGACAAUGGCAGUCAGAAUAGUGUUACUUUUUCAGGUGAUAUUGACUAGGAGAGGGAAGGAAAUAUUCCCUAUCUAUCUUUAUCUUGGCAGUGGCUAUGUAAUAUGUAAUUGUCUAUUGUGUGAAUUCAUAUUCCUAGGUAUGUGGGGUUUUUUGAUGCUACAAAAAAGUUAAAAUUUUUUCUCAUUGCCUGUUUCAUGUCUAUAAAAAUAGUUUUUGUAUAUUGACCUUAUAUCC
RNAcentral lists this long non-coding RNA (2069 nucleotides) under Macaca fascicularis (crab-eating macaque). Its description in RNAcentral is "lncRNA (ENSMFAG00000059392.1)". The record is from RNAcentral. Lineage: Eukaryota; Metazoa; Chordata; Mammalia; Primates; Cercopithecidae.